CAGUCGAACGGGUGUACAGAAGGGAAGAUUUCUGGUCGGAAGAUCUGCGUUUGAGUGGCGGACGGGUGAGUAACGCGUGGGCAACCUGGCCUGUACAGGGGGAUAACACUUAGAAAUAGGUGCUAAUACCGCAUAACGGGAGAAGCCGCAUGGCUUUUUCCUGAAAACUCCGGUGGUACAGGAUGGGCCCGCGUCUGAUUAGCCAGUUGGCAGGGUAACGGCCUACCAAAGCGACGAUCAGUAGCCGGCCUGAGAGGGCGGACGGCCACACUGGGACUGAGACACGUACCAGACUCCUACGGGAGGCAGCAGUGGGGGAUAUUGCACAAUGGGGGAAACCCUGAUGCAGCGACGCCGCGUGGGUGAAGAAGCGCCUCGGCGCGUAAAGCCCUGUCAGCAGGGAAGAAAAUGACGGUACCUGAAGAAGAAGCCCCGGCUAACUACGUGCCAGCAGCCGCGGUAAUACGUAGGGGGCAAGCGUUAUCCGGAUUUACUGGGUGUAAAGGGGGCGCAGACGGCGAUGCAAGCCAGGAGUGAAAGCCCGGGGCCCAACCCCGGGACUGCUCUUGGAACUGCGUGGCUAGAGUGCAGGAGGGGCAGGCGGAAUUCCUGGUGUAGCGGUGAAAUGCGUAGAUAUCAGGAGGAACACCGGUGGCGAAGGCGGCCUGCUGGACUGCAACUGACGUUGAGGCCCGAAAGCGUGGGGAGCAAACAGGAUUAGAUACCCUGGUAGU
Molecule: ribosomal RNA, 734 nt
Filed under: uncultured bacterium
Lineage: Bacteria
Description: bacterial SSU rRNA
Rfam family: Bacterial small subunit ribosomal RNA
Source: RNAcentral